AGGGGGUGGUGCCUGCGAUCCCCAAAACCCCUAAGGGCGUUUUUUACAGUGCUCUUUUAGCUCUGCUGACCGCGGAUGGCUUAAGUGUUAACAGCUCAGUGGGCCCUUUGCCUUUUCGCUUGAGUCGGCUGCCCUGUGCCAGCAAGGGCAAAGGGCCAGUGUAACAGCCUUUUGUAUCUGCACUCGUGGCUCCUGAGCUCCUGUUCGGCAUACAGGAAAAAUGAUGUCGCACCAACAAACUGAAGGAUGGUAAAUGUUGAGGAUUUUAUUGCCAAUGAAAGCGGCUGUCAUUGGGAGCUGAAAAGAUGAUGGAAAGCUGAAAAGCGGAUAAGGUGGGUAGGUACCUGAAGUCUGGCCAUCUACGGCAGCUGGAUUCUUCUCCAAAGUUACACUGUCAAGCUGCCCCUCUGAAGCCAAGCCACUUCUCUCUGACAUCCAGCCGUAGUCUCUGCUGCUCUCCAACUGAGUAUGAGGGAGAUGUUUCCUAUUAUCCUUGAUAAUGUGCCAUGAACAUAUGAAAAAACAUAGAAACAUGAAGAAAACAAGAAGAUGAAAAUCGCUAACAUCUGGUUGGCUGUAUAGAAACAAAGCUGAUUCUGGUUGGAGUGCAGUGGUAAGAUCACAGCUCACUGCUGCCUUGACUUCCUGGGCUCAAGUGAUUCUCCUGCCUCAGUCUCCUCAGUAGCUCGGACUACAGCUUGCAAAUGGAUCUUACAGACAUUGUCACAGAGACAAGAAAAGCAUAUAAAAAAAUAAAUAAAGAUGAGCUCCUUCCAAGAUGACUGACUAGAAGCAGCUGGUGUGUGCUGCUCUCACAAAGAGAAGAGUGGUGAGUGGACCAUCCAGGUGGACACAUUGGGAUUCAUCAAGGAAACAAUACACAGAAAACAGAAGAAUGAGACAGGACAAUCAUUCACCCAGAAGUGGCAUAGAGCCGGGAGAUGGCCCUCACCAUGGUUAGUAAGUGAGAGUCCCCAGGGAGUCACACUUCUGCCACAGACCUUUGCAACCCUGGGCCCAGGCGAUCCCCCAUGACACCCGUGCCCCACCAGGGCCUCUGGACUGACAUAGGCAGCUGCAUGGAGUGUGGGCAGAACUGCCGCUCAGGCACACAUGAAAUCCUUGGAGCUUUUCAUCCCCAGGCACCCUGGUACCAAUGGCUGCAGCUGCGGCAAUGGGGGAGGACAGGCUCUCUUGCAUGUCCUCAGAAUAGGAACACAAUCCAUGGGGCUAAGCAGUGGGUGGACUGUGGGGCUCUUCUACACAGCCCGUUGCCAGACUGGCCUGGGAUCCUAGCAUGGUCACAAGAGUCCCACCUGGGCUCUCGAGGAACAGAUCUGUACUUCCCUGGCAUGGAACUCCUGGAGGGGACGGGCAGGCUGCUGUUUUUGCUGCUCCACAGCCCUCACUCCUGUUGCCCUCAGGCUUGGGAGUGAGCACAGUGAUUGGGGACUAACACAGACCCCCAGCACAGUGUACAGACUUGCAGAAAAGCAGCCAGACUGUUUUCCACAUGGGUCCUCACCCCUGCUACUCUUCACUGGGCAGCACCUCUUGACCUUGGCCCCCACCACAACCAACCUGCCCCCACAUGAACGCUUUGUCAGUGAUGGCUCUGUGUUUCUCUGAGGAGAAAAAUCCAAAAGACAAUCCAUAAGCCUUCUGCUAUUGCAGCUGCAGUGGUAUGGCCCUUACUACCUUCAGGCUGGGGAAAGAACAAAGGACUUGGUCCUUACACUGGCCCCUCCAGCACACCACCGCCACCAUAUGGAGAAGAGCCCAGUCUUUCUUCCCCGUAAGCCCCCACUCACCACUGUUCACCAGGCAAGACCCCUAGUUGGGGACAGCAGAGCAGUUGUCCUACCCCCGGGUGAGAAUUCCCACUGCUAUUGGCUCUAUAUUUUCCUGAGGUGGGGCUCCCAGAAGCAAUUGACAUCCCCUCUGUCACUGUCAUGGCAGCGGUUCUGCCCUUACUGCACUCAGACUGGGGAAAGAACAAACAGCCUGAGGUCUUCACUCACACUCCUAGCACAACACAGUCAUGAUAUGGAGAGGAGCCCAGUUGUUCCUCCUGGUGAGCCCUUGACCUCCUACUUUUCACCAAGUGAAGCCUCCAGCUUGGGCUAGCAGUGUAGCCACCCCACCCACUGGCUGAACAUUCUCAGUAGCAAUGGCUUGCGUUUCUCUGAGGUAGGGCUCCCAGGGACAAUGGAAAGCACCUCUCCCAAUGACACUGCAGCGGUACUGCCUUGCUGCCCUUGGACUGGGGAAGGGGCAGAGACCUUGAGUGCUUAACCCACAUGUCCAGGAAGUGGCAGCUGCCCUAAGGAGAGGAGGCCAGUCUGUCUCCUCUGUGAGACCCCUGCCACCCUUGCUCAUCACCAGGCAGGGCCUCCAGGCAUGGAUUCACAAUGCAGCUGCCCCAAUCCCAAGCCCAUCUCUCCAAUUAGUAGUGGCUCUGCAUUUCUCUAGGGUGGAGCCCCAAGAGACAAGUGAAAGGCCCUCUGCCACAGCAACUGCCAAGGUCCCUUCCCCUGUUGCCUUCAAGCUGGGGAGGGAAAAUAAAGCCUUAGCUCGCCCCUAGCAGCAGUGUGCAGCCCAGGAGUGCCAAGGCCAGACCUUUAGCCAGCACUGGAGUGGGAAAGGGAGCCCACACUUUCAGAGCACUGAGAGGGAGCAUGGCUGCAAUCAUGAAGAAAUACAGAGGAGCCACGUGGUGGAGCAAGAGCCCACCUACUGGCCAUUACACUUCAGUGCCAUCUACUGGAUCAUAGCCCAAACUCCAACUCCAAAUAUACUUGCUAAUAUACCCCCCUCUGUGAAAACAACGACAAGAUUUCAACAACAAAGACCCUGCACAAAACCUCGGCCCUCAAAAAACAUUCAGAAAAGGAGUCUGCACUCAAUUACACCACAGUUAAAGGAGCAUCAGCCCACACAGAUGAGAAAAAACUGGUGCAAGAGCUCUAACAACUAAACUACAGUGUUUUCUUUCCUCCAAAUAACUGCACUAGUUCACAAGGAAGGGUUCUUAACCAGGCGGAAAGGGUGGAAAUGACAGAGAGAGAAUUCAAAAUAUGGAUAGGAAUGAAGGUCAUCAAGAUUCAGGAGAAAGUCAAAACCCAAUCCAAGGAAUCUAACAAUUACAAUAAAACAAUACAGGAGUUGAAAGACAAAAGGGCCAUUAUAAGAAAGAACCAAACUGAUCUGAUAGAGCUAAAAAACACACUAAAUAAUUCCUUAAUAUAAUUACAAGUAUUAACAGCAGAAUAGACCAAGCUGAAGAAAGAAUCUCAGAGCUCACAGGCAACAUCUCUGAACUCAGUCAGACAAAAAUAAGAAUAAAGAAGAAUGAACAAAACCUCCGAGAAAUAUGGGAUUAUGUAGAGACGAAAUCUAUGACUCAUUGGCAUCCUUGAAAGAGAGGAGGAGAAAGCAAGCAACUUGGAAAACAUAUUUCAGAAUAUCAUCUAUGAAGACUUCCCCAACAUCGCUAUGGAGGACAACAUUCAAAAUCAGGAAAUCUCUGUGAGAUUCUAUAUAAGAAGACCAUCCACAAGCCACAUGGUCGUCAGAUUCUUCAAGGCCAAAACAAAAGAAAAAAUGUUAAAGGAAGCUAGAGAGAAGAGGCAGAUCACCUACAAAGGAAACCUCAUUAGGCUAACAGCAGAUCAUUCAGCAGAAAUCCCACAAGCCAGAAGAGAUUAGGAGUGUGUAUUCAGCAUUCUUAAGGAAAAGAAAUUUCAACCAAGAAUCUCAUAUCUAGCCAAACUUAGUUUCAUUAGCGAAGGAGAAAUAAGAUCCUAUUCAGACAAGCAAAUGCUAAGGGAAUUCAGUACCACCAGACAUGCUCUAUAAGAGAUCCUGAAGCAAGUGCCAAAUAUAGAACAGAAAGACUGUUACUGACCACUGCAAAAGCACACUAAAAACAUAGACCAUUGACACUGUAAAGCAACCACACAAAUAAAGCUGCAUAAUAACCAGCUAACAGCACAAUGACAGGAUCAAAUCAGCAAAUACCAAUAUUAACCUUGAAAGUGAAGGGGCUAAGUGCCCCAAUGAAAAGUCACAGAGUGGCAAGUUGGAUAAAGAGCAAGACCCUGGCCAGGCAGGUGACUCAUGCCUGUAAUCUCAGCACUUUGGGAAGCCGACACAGGUGAAUCAAGAAUUCGAGACCAGUCUGGCCAACAUGGUGAAACCCCAUCUCUAUUAAAAUACAAAAAUUAGCCCUGGACAUGGUGGUGCUCAUCUAUAGUCCCAGGUACUAGGGAGGCUGAGGCGGGAGGAUCAGUUGGACCCAGGAGGCAGAGGUUGCAGUGAGCUGAGAUCAUGGCACUGCGCUUCAGCCUAAAAAAAAAAAAAAAAAAAAAAGAAGCAUGAUCCAACUGUAUGCUGUCUUCAACAGACAUAUCUCACAUGGAUCCAUAGGCUUAAAGUAAAGGGAUGAAGAAAAAUCUACCAAGCCAAUGGAAAACAGAAAAUCGCAGGGGUUGACAGUUGAAUUUCAGUCAAAACAGACUUUAAACCAACAAUGAUCAAGAAAGACAAAGGAAGACAUUACAUAAUAGUAAAGGGUUCAAUACAACAGAAAGAUGUUACUAUUGUAAAUAUAUAUGCAUCCAACACAGAAUCCAGAUUCAUAAAGCAAGUUCUUAGAGACCUAUGAAGAGACUUAGUUAACUGGACAAUAAUAGUGGUAGACUUCAACACCCCAUUGACAGUAUUACACAGAUCACUGAGGCAGAAAACUCACAAAAAUAUCCAGGAUUCAAACUCAACAUUGACCAAAUGGACUCAAUACACAUCUGUAGAACUCUCCACCAAACAACACCAGAAUAUAUAUUCUACUCAUCUGCACAGAGCACACACUGCAAAAGAGAAAACACAAUUAGCCAUAAAAUAAUCCUCAGGAAAUCAAAAACAAACAAACAAAAACA
This 4937-nucleotide long non-coding RNA is filed under the name Pan troglodytes (chimpanzee). RNAcentral's name for it is "lincRNA". The record is from RNAcentral. Lineage: Eukaryota; Metazoa; Chordata; Mammalia; Primates; Hominidae.